UACGUAGGCAGCAAGCGUUGUUCGGAAUUACUGGGCGUAAAGGGCUCGUAGGUGGCCAACUAAGUCAGACGUGAAAUCCCUCGGCUUAACCGGGGAACUGCGUCUGAUACUGGAUGGCUUGAGUUCGGGAGAGGGAUGCGGAAUUCCAGGUGUAGCGGUGAAAUGCGUAGAUAUCUGGAGGAACACCGGUGGCGAAGGCGGCAUCCUGGACCGACACUGACACUGAGGAGCGAAAGCCAGGGGAGCAAACGGG
This 253-nucleotide ribosomal RNA is filed under the name uncultured bacterium. Its description in RNAcentral is "partial 16S ribosomal RNA". It matches the Rfam family "Bacterial small subunit ribosomal RNA", at positions 524 to 776 of the family's 1533-position model. The record is from RNAcentral.